RNAcentral lists this ribosomal RNA (508 nucleotides) under uncultured bacterium. RNAcentral describes it as "bacterial SSU rRNA". It matches the Rfam family "Bacterial small subunit ribosomal RNA", at positions 15 to 518 of the family's 1533-position model. The record is from RNAcentral.
GAUUAUGGCUCAGGAUGAACGCUAGCGACAGGCUUAACACAUGCAAGUCGAGGGGCAGCAUAAAAGUAGCAAUACUUGGUGGCGACCGGCGCACGGGUGAGUAACGCGUAUGCAACCUACCUAUCAGAGGGAAUAACCGGCGAAAGUCGGACUAAUACCGCAUAAAACAGGGGCACCGCAUGGUGAUAUUUGUUAAAGAAAUUCGCUGAUAGAUGGGCAUGCGUUCCAUUAGGUAGUUGGUGAGGUAACGGCUCACCAAGCCGACGAUGGAUAGGGGAACUGAGAGGUUGGUCCCCCACACUGGUACUGAGACACGGACCAGACUCCUACGGGAGGCAGCAGUGAGGAAUAUUGGUCAAUGGGCGGGAGCCUGAACCAGCCAAGUCGCGUGAAGGAAGAAGGAUCUAUGGUUCGUAAACUUCUUUUGCAGGGGAAUAAAGUGCAGGACGUGUCCUGUUUUGUAUGUACCCUGAGAAUAAGGAUCGGCUAACUCCGUGCCAGCCGCCGC